RNAcentral lists this ribosomal RNA (435 nucleotides) under uncultured bacterium. Its description in RNAcentral is "bacterial SSU rRNA". It matches the Rfam family "Bacterial small subunit ribosomal RNA", at positions 87 to 518 of the family's 1533-position model. The record is from RNAcentral.
GGUGGCGACCGGCGCGACGGGUGAGUAACGCGUAUGCAACCUACCUAGUCAGAGGGGAAUAACCCGGCGAAAGUCGGACUAAUACCGCAUAAAACAGGGGCACCGCAUGGUGAUAUUUGUUAAAGAAAUUCGCUGAUAGAUGGGCAUGCGUUCCAUUAGGUAGUUGGUGAGGUAACGGCUCACCAAGCCGACGAUGGAUAGGGAACUGAGAGGUUGGUCCCCCACACUGGUACUGAGACACGGACCAGACUCCUACGGGAGGCAGCAGUGAGGAAUAUUGGUCAAUGGGCGGGAGCCUGAACCAGCCAAGUCGCGUGAAGGAAGAAGGAUCUAUGGUUCGUAAACUUCUUUUGCAGGGGAAUAAAGUGCAGGACGUGUCCUGUUUUUGUAUGUACCCUGAGAAUAAGGAUCGGCUAACUCCGUGCCAGCCGCCGC